CUGAGUAAAAUGGGUCUUUAUGGCUCAUAACUCCCACCCUUUGUGUACCUUACCAAAUUUUAAAAGUUGCCUUGGUAGGAACCUACCUCUCUAAUCCAGGGGCAGGCCUACCAUUGGAACUCUUUUUUAAACUCUUAUCAAUUGAGUCGUCUGAGAAAUAAAUUCAAAUGAAUUA
This 175-nucleotide unclassified non-coding RNA is filed under the name uncultured Helicosporium. RNAcentral's name for it is "sequence contains ITS1". Lineage: Eukaryota; Fungi; Ascomycota; Dothideomycetes; Tubeufiales; Tubeufiaceae. The record is from RNAcentral.